Molecule: long non-coding RNA, 697 nt
Filed under: Homo sapiens (human)
Lineage: Eukaryota; Metazoa; Chordata; Mammalia; Primates; Hominidae
Description: HSALNT0148119
Source: RNAcentral
UUUUAAGCAAAGAUCAAUACAAAAACAUUCCAGUUUGACUGAAAGGGGCGGCAGUUUCCGUUUAGGUAAAAUGGAUAGAAUAAUAGUACUUACCUCAAAGGAUUGUUGAAGAGAAUCAACAAGAUGAUAUCCCUGAAGCACUGGGAAUAGUGUCUGGCACACAGCACUCUCCCAGGAGCACACCGCGGCGCUAGAGAAGACCAGGAAAAAGGACCUGAGCCAGCUUGCCGUCUUAACAAAAAUUUCAAACUUUGCAAAGCGGUAUACCUUCUUAUUCUCCAGUUCAGUAUUGCCAGUGAAGUCAUACUGAACGCAGACAAGGAAAAGAAAGAAAAAGAAACUCAAUGAGAUAUGUUGUCAUCUUCCCUGUUUUAUGGAUGAAGUUCUAAGUAGAGGUUCGGAGAAGAUGUUCAGCCUCAGAACGUAGCCACCUUGCUGUGAGAAAGCCCAACCAUCUUGUACAGCGAGACCACAUGGAGAGGCGCAUGUGGAAAGGAACGGAGGCUACAAGCCGAUAGCCAGCAUCGACUGCCAGGCACGGAGAGUGAGUCUUCAGAUGAAUCCAGCCUCAGCCUAGAGUCUUUUGUCUCAGGCCCCAGACACUGUGGAGCAGGGACAAGCCAUCCCCACUGUGUCCCACCCGCAUUCCUGAUCCACAGAAUCUAUGAGCACAAUAAAUAGUUGCUUUAUGGCAGAG